AUGGAGAGCCCCACAUCGGCGGCAUCGCGGGUGGACUUCUACGGCUUCCUCGACCGCAUGCGCCGCCCGGAGGCCGCCGGCCUCUUCCGCUCCAUCAAGAGCUUCCUCACCUCCAUCUCCCUCGACGAGCCCAGCGCCGAGGCGGACGACGCCAGGGUCCAGGCCUUCUUCGCGGAGAUGGAGGCGGCCAUCCGGGGGCACCCGCUCUGGGCCGACGCCACCCACCAGGAAAUCGACCACACGCUCGAGGCUCGCCGGAGGACGCGGCCGCCGACGCCGAGGUCUCAGGACAAGAUCGGCCUCCUGCAGCGCUUUGUCAGGCCCCAUCACCUCGACAUACCCAAGUAUCGGCGACAACAAGAAGGCCUGGAAGACCGGACACUGCAGAUAUGUGCAGUCGCUGCCAAGCUUUGUGAUAUUGUUAGUCUACCAGAUAAUUUCUGA
Molecule: ribosomal RNA, 444 nt
Filed under: Triticum aestivum (bread wheat)
Lineage: Eukaryota; Viridiplantae; Streptophyta; Magnoliopsida; Poales; Poaceae
Description: partial small subunit ribosomal RNA
Source: RNAcentral